This 64-nucleotide transfer RNA is filed under the name Procryptotermes hesperus. RNAcentral's name for it is "tRNA-Glu". It matches the Rfam family "tRNA". Rfam says of the family: Transfer RNA (tRNA) molecules are approximately 80 nucleotides in length. Their secondary structure includes four short double-helical elements and three loops (D, anti-codon, and T loops). Further hydrogen bonds mediate the characteristic L-shaped molecular structure. tRNAs have two regions of fundamental functional importance: the anti-codon, which is responsible for specific mRNA codon recognition, and the 3' end, to which the tRNAs corresponding amino acid is attached (by aminoacyl-tRNA synthetases). tRNAs cope with the degeneracy of the genetic code in two manners: having more than one tRNA (with a specific anti-codon) for a particular amino acid; and 'wobble' base-pairing, i.e. permitting non-standard base-pairing at the 3rd anti-codon position. Lineage: Eukaryota; Metazoa; Arthropoda; Insecta; Blattodea; Kalotermitidae. The record is from RNAcentral.
AUUUAUGUAGUUUAACAAAAACAUUACAUUUUCACUGUAAAGAUAAAGUGCCCUUUCAUAAAUA